Molecule: unclassified non-coding RNA, 338 nt
Filed under: soil metagenome
Description: partial contains 5.8S ribosomal RNA, internal transcribed spacer 2, and large subunit ribosomal RNA
Rfam family: 5.8S ribosomal RNA (bases 1-120)
Source: RNAcentral
GAUGAAGAACGUAGCGAAAUGCGAUAAGUAAUGUGAAUUGCAGAAUUCAGUGAAUCAUCGAAUCUUUGAACGCACAUUGCGCCCGGCAGUACUCUGCCGGGCAUGUCUGUUCGAGCGUCAUUUCAACCCUCAAGCCCUGCUUGGUGUUGGGGUCCCACGGCCGCCGUGGGCCCUGAAAGGAAGUGGCGGGCUCGCUACAACUCCGAGCGUAGUAAUUCAUUAUCUCGCUUAGGGCGUUGGGCGGCGCUCCUGCCGUUAAAGAACCAUCUUUAACUCAAGGUUGACCUCGGAUCAGGUAGGAAUACCCGCUGAACUUAAGCAUAUCAAUAAGCGGAGGA